AAGUCGUAACAAGGUUUCCGUAGGUGAACCUGCGGAAGGAUCAUUAUCGAGUUUUGAACGGGUUGUCUGCUGGCUCGCGAGAGCAUGUGCACGCCUGUCUCAUCCACUCUCAACUUCUGUGCACUUUUCAUAGGCCGGCUUGUGGGUGCGUUCGCGCACUUGUAGGUGUCGGGCUUAUGCUUUACUACAAACGAUUCAGUUUUAGAAUGUCAUACUUUGCUAUAACGCAAUUUAUAUACAACUUUCAGCAACGGAUCUCUUGGCUCUC
Molecule: unclassified non-coding RNA, 268 nt
Filed under: Bjerkandera adusta
Lineage: Eukaryota; Fungi; Basidiomycota; Agaricomycetes; Polyporales; Phanerochaetaceae
Description: partial internal transcribed spacer region
Rfam family: Eukaryotic small subunit ribosomal RNA (bases 1-46)
Source: RNAcentral